RNAcentral lists this ribosomal RNA (254 nucleotides) under uncultured bacterium. RNAcentral describes it as "partial 16S ribosomal RNA". It matches the Rfam family "Bacterial small subunit ribosomal RNA", at positions 524 to 776 of the family's 1533-position model. The record is from RNAcentral.
UACGGAGGGGGGCUAGCGUUGUUCGGAAUUACUGGGCGUAAAGCGCACGUAGGCGGCUUUGUAAGUUAGAGGUGAAAGCCCAGGGCUUAACCCUGGAAUUGCCUUUAAGACUGCAUCGCUUGAAUCGUGGAGAGGUGAGUGGAAUUCCGAGUGUAGAGGUGAAAUUCGUAGAUAUUCGGAAGAACACCAGUGGCGAAGGCGACUCACUGGACACGUAUUGACGCUGAGGUGCGAAAGCGUGGGGAGCAAACAGG